AUUCCUCCUGGAGCUUUUCCCUGUUUGGAUUUCUUAUCAUUGUCACCAACCAGAGGUUGAAUCUCCACACCGUUCCACUGCUGAAGUGAGAUGCUCUGACUGGCUGCCAACCCUGUGAAAGCACCCACCUGAAUUCUCUGCGCUCAACAGAGCAGCCCAAGGAUAAACCCUCCAGUAAAUCCUAUGUGACUGAAGAUAUAGGAGCCUGACUGAAGACGUGACCAGGAUCCAUCCUCAGCUACCAACACACCUCAGGCUGAAGCAGACUCGACUCUGUGAGAGGACAGGACCAUCCCACCUU
This is a long non-coding RNA of Malurus melanocephalus (red-backed fairy wren), 301 nucleotides long. RefSeq lists it as uncharacterized. NCBI's taxonomy places the organism in Eukaryota, Metazoa, Chordata, Aves, Passeriformes, Maluridae. The record is from RefSeq and is a predicted model, not a curated record. The transcript has 3 exons.